AAGAGUUAGGGUCCUCACACGGCCCGACCUCCCAACCCUUUGCUUAUUAUACCUUUGUGUUGCCUCGGCGGGCCCGUCUCACGACCGCCGGGGGGCCGUAAAACGCCCUCUGGCCAGUUGCCCGCCCGUGGCCCAUACCUAUAAACUCUGAAUUAAGCGUGUCUUUGUCUGAGUAUGAUAUCUAAAUCAAAAAUA
This 195-nucleotide unclassified non-coding RNA is filed under the name uncultured fungus. Its description in RNAcentral is "sequence contains ITS1, 5.8S rRNA gene". Lineage: Eukaryota; Fungi. The record is from RNAcentral.